CUUAGAAACUAUUAUAACAGAAGCUUAAGCAUAAUAUAUUAAAUUGCUAAGUAAUGAAUAGUGAUGAUAGCAAAAGUUCAUUAGCGUGUUGUGUCCUUCCAUCCAUAUUCACGAGCUCUGUUUUCCCAUAAAGCUGUUAGCCUGCGUUCUUGAAUGAGCUGUGUCUCUGCCCUCUCUCUUGCUUCUUCACAAGUUUCCACCGCCAAGUUGCACUUUACUGCUUCCUCUUGAGAGCAUAGUCACUGGAUCCUUAUGCAUUUCUUCACUCAUAGCUGGAUCAUGUUUACCGCAGUCUGCACUUAUAUUAUAGAAAGAGAAGGGGGAAAAGCUUACCCGAAGGAUUGAAGGGAUACUCAGGCAGAGAGCAAAAGCAUUCUUCACAUGAAGGACAUGGAGAAUGAACAGUUGUGGC
This is a long non-coding RNA of Arachis stenosperma, 412 nucleotides long. RefSeq lists it as uncharacterized. Lineage: Eukaryota; Viridiplantae; Streptophyta; Magnoliopsida; Fabales; Fabaceae. The record is from RefSeq and is a predicted model, not a curated record. The transcript has 3 exons.